UUUUCCGGCGGAAUCGGUGGCUUUCUCCGGUGGAUUUGCUAUGAAAAAUCCUUGGGAUGAUGAACUGUGACUGCACGAAAGGGCUGUAAGUAUAAAUUACUUACUGAGGGUAGUACUGGAUUUCAAUAAUGUUGUGUUUAUGUUUUAUUUUAAUUGGAUGCGUGUGAUUGAUCAUUGCAUACAUUUAAUAAUUAACCUAUUAAUAUUGGUUGCUACCGUCUUCCAAAGGUUCAGGAUGGGAAUAGUGCCUGGAACCGAAAACCCAAUAAUUCAUAUUGAUUGCUACUGCCUUUCAAAGUGCUAGUGGAGUGAUGUGGGACGUACUCUGCUAGGGCGGAAACCAUGCUAAUAAAAUGUAAUGUAGAGGGUACGGCCUCGAGAUAUACGCUGACCGGGAUUACGGCCCUUAUAUGAGUGGAGUGUCAUGACUAUAUUAAACUGUUAAACUUUGCAUGAAAACUAUUACUACAUCAUUAUGUCAUAUCUCUGUUCCUUAAAUAACGCAUAAAUCAUGAUGUUGUUGAAUGACAGUUAGCUCACUUAUGGAACUAUGGGAUUGUGGCGGUAACCACCUUCUCAUAGAUGUUUGCGCAGGUUCUGAAGAUUAUGGAUUGGAUUAAUUGCUAGCUUAAGAGAUUUAAAGUUGUGUAGUUAGGAUUUUAGUACUUUGUACUCAUAAAUGUUUGUACUAUUUGCGUGUAACAUGUUUAGACAUUUACUUGUAUUUAUUAAGUUCCAUGUAUGCUUUAGUGUCAUAUGUGACACAUGUUUCUUUGUAAAUAGUGUAAAGACUUUUAAUGUAUUUCUAGAGGAUGUCAGUUAAAGCUCUAAAUGUAUUGUAAGGGAAUUGUCCCUAAUGUUUGAAAAAAAAAAAGAUAUUCGUA
Molecule: long non-coding RNA, 884 nt
Organism: Alnus glutinosa
Lineage: Eukaryota; Viridiplantae; Streptophyta; Magnoliopsida; Fagales; Betulaceae
Exons: 2
Source: RefSeq, a predicted model, not a curated record